AGUAACGGCGAGUGAAGCGGCAACAGCUCAAAUUUGAAAUCUGGCGCAAGCCCGAGUUGUAAUUUGUAGAGGAUGCUUCUAGGUAGCGACCGGUCUAAGUUCCUUGGAACAGGACGUCAUAGAGGGUGAGAAUCCCGUAUGUGACUGGCCCGCACCUUCUACGUAGCUCCUUCGACGAGUCGAGUUGUUUGGGAAUGCAGCUCUAAAUGGGAGGUAAAUUUCUUCUAAAGCUAAAUACCGGCCAGAGACCGAUAGCGCACAAGUAGAGUGAUCGAAAGAUGAAAAGCACUUUGGAAAGAGAGUUAAAAAGCACGUGAAAUUGUUGAAAGGGAAGCGCUCACAACCAGACUUCUAGGCAGUGUUCCGCCGGUCUUUUGACCGGUCUACUCUCUGUCUCGAGGCCAACAUCAUCUGGGACCGCCGGAUAAGACCUUAGGAAUGUAGCUCCCCUCGGGGAGUGUUAUAGCCUCUGGUGAUGCGGCGCGUCUCGGGUGAGGUCCGCGCUUCGGCAAGGAUGUUGGCGUAAUGGUUGUCAGCGGCCCGUCUUGAAACACGGACCAAGGAGUCUAACAUCUAUGCGAGUGUUCGGGUGUCAAACCCCUACGCGUAAUGAAAGUGAACGGAGGUGGGAAGCGUAAGCUGCACCAUCGACCGAUCCUGAUGUCCUCGGAUGGAUUUGAGUAAGAGCAUAGCUGUUGGGACCCGAAAGAUGGUGAACUAUGCCUGAAUAGGGUGAAGCCAGAGGAAACUCUGGUGGAGGCUCGCAGCGGUUCUGACGUGCAAAUCGAUCGUCAAAUUUGGGUAUA
This 806-nucleotide ribosomal RNA is filed under the name Ramularia endophylla. RNAcentral's name for it is "eukaryotic LSU rRNA". It matches the Rfam family "Eukaryotic large subunit ribosomal RNA", at positions 82 to 919 of the family's 3401-position model. The record is from RNAcentral. Lineage: Eukaryota; Fungi; Ascomycota; Dothideomycetes; Mycosphaerellales; Mycosphaerellaceae.